Molecule: ribosomal RNA, 629 nt
Filed under: Eulophia alta
Lineage: Eukaryota; Viridiplantae; Streptophyta; Magnoliopsida; Asparagales; Orchidaceae
Description: eukaryotic LSU rRNA
Rfam family: 5.8S ribosomal RNA (bases 241-396)
Source: RNAcentral
UCGAGACCGAAAUAUGCACCGAGUGACUCGGAGAACCCGUGGAACGACGUGCGGCGUCGGCCGCCGCGGAACGGCCGUCCAGGCCGCGCCCAAUCUCCUCUCCCGGGGAUAGGCGGCGCGGCGGAGGGCGGAUGAAAACACAAACCGGCGCAGCAUCGCGCCAAGGGAAAGCUGAAAGGCACGAGCCCCUCGUCGGGCUCGGCGGCGUGGAGUGCUAUUGCACGCCAUGCGGAUGGACACGACUCUCGGCAAUGGAUAUCUCGGCUCUCGCAUCGAUGAAGAGCGCAGCGAAAUGCGAUACGUGGUGCGAAUUGCAGAAUCCCGCGAACCAUCGAGUCUUUGAACGCAAGUUGCGCCUGAGGCCAGCCGGCGGAGGGCACGUCCGCCUGGGCGUCAAGCUUCGCGUCGCUCCGUGCCAGCUCCGCUCCGCCAGAUGGGCGUGUGAUGGGCGUGGCUCGGACGUGCAGAGUGGCCCGUCGCGCCGCUCGGUGCGGCGGGCUGAAGAGCGGGCUACGUCUCGCCGGCCGCGAACAACAAGGGGUGGGUGAAGGGCUGUGAACGCAGCCUGUUUGUCUCGUGGUGGCCAGAGGGAUGGAUUCUGCCCUCAAGGUGAUCCCGACCCAUGCGCC